Chiloscyllium plagiosum (whitespotted bambooshark) is the source of this 534-nucleotide non-coding RNA. The record is from the annotation of a RefSeq genome assembly. Lineage: Eukaryota; Metazoa; Chordata; Chondrichthyes; Orectolobiformes; Hemiscylliidae.
AUGUGGCUCCUCAGUAUCUGGGUUGUAUGGGGAUCAAUUCUAACAGACCUGAGUCAUGGAAAUUCAAUCACUCAGUUACUCUCCUCAGAUUGUCGCACAAAAGGCGAGGCAAUGACUCUAACUUGUAUUUAUAGUACGACAGAGAACUAUUACUGGUUAUACUGGUACAGACAGCAGCCAGGCACACAACCCGAGUAUAUACUGAGGAAACAUGCUAAUGGGAAUGAGGAUAAAGCAGAUUUUGCUAAAAACCGUUUCUCUGUAGAACUCCAGACUGCAAACAAAUUCACCAAUUUGACUAUCACUAGACUACAACUGAUAGACGCUUUCGUGUACUACUGUGCUUUCAGGGACACAGUGAUGAGGAACUGUCUCACACCUGUUCAAAAACUGCUUUUUGACCAGAGGUUGAUUUGUCUUUUGAGGUUUUCUCAGCAUCUUGGAAGUUACUAUGUGCUGCAGGAAGUUAAACACACACCGAAAGGAAACCACAUUAACAUCAGGCUGUCAACCAAUGAUUCUCGGCACUGCUGA